ACCGGGAUUGCCUCAGUAACGGCGAGUGAAGCGGCAAGAGCUCAAAUUUGAAAGCUGGCCCCUCCGGGGUCCGCAUUGUAAUUUGCAGAGGAUGCUUCGGGCUCAGCCCCCGUCUAAGUGCCCUGGAACGGGCCGUCGGAGAGGGUGAGAAUCCCGUCUGGGACGGGGUGCCUGGGUCCAUGUGAAGCUCCUUCGACGAGUCGAGUUGUUUGGGAAUGCAGCUCUAAAUGGGUGGUAAAUUUCAUCUAAAGCUAAAUACUGGCCGGAGACCGAUAGCGCACAAGUAGAGUGAUCGAAAGAUGAAAAGCACUUUGAAAAGAGAGUUAAACAGCACGUGAAAUUGUUGAAAGGGAAGCGCUUGCGAUCAGACUCGCCUGCGGGGUUCAGCCGGCAUUCGUGCCGGUGUACUUCCCCGUGGGCGGGCCAGCGUCGGUUCGGGUGGCCGGUCAAAGGCCCCGGGAAUGUGUCGCCCUCCGGGGCGUCUUAUAGCCCGGGGUGCCAUGCGGCCUACCUGGACCGAGGAACGCGCUUCGGCUCGGACGCUGGCGUAAUGGUCGUAAGCGACCCGUCUUGAAACACGGACCAAGGAGUCUAACAUCUACGCGAGUGUUUGGGUGGCAAACCCAUACGCGCAGUGAAAGCGAACGGAGGUGGGAACCCUUCGGGGCGCACCAUCGACCGAUCCUGAUGUCUUCGGAUGGAUUUGAGUAAGAGCGUAGCUGUGGGGACCCGAAAGAUGGUGAACUAUGCCUGAAUAGGGCGAAGCCAGAGGAAACUCUGGUGGAGGCUCGCAGCGGUUCUGACGUGCAAAUCGAUCGUCAAAUUUGGGUAUAGGGGCGAAAGACUAAUCG
This 851-nucleotide ribosomal RNA is filed under the name Monascus ruber. RNAcentral's name for it is "partial 28S ribosomal RNA". It matches the Rfam family "Eukaryotic large subunit ribosomal RNA", at positions 68 to 937 of the family's 3401-position model. Lineage: Eukaryota; Fungi; Ascomycota; Eurotiomycetes; Eurotiales; Aspergillaceae. RNAcentral also lists the same sequence under 1 other name. The record is from RNAcentral.